CCUUGCUUCCCACCUAAAACUAUGGCUUCUCCCACUAAAGGACAGCCCUUUGCUUCCCAUCAUGCCACCCCGCCCCUGCCCCACCAAGAGAGUAACCUGGUACUUGCUACCUGCUGGUGACUAGUGAUGUGAUGACACAAGCCCCUCCUAGUGAUAUCACAAGCUCCCCCAAUCCCUAACCACUACAUCACUCAAUCCCACCCCAGCCCUAUCAGAAGUGCUCCCUGUCUCGGCCAUAUUGCUUUCUCUCCUUUGAUCAGAGAUGAUCCAGCAGGUUGUCAUUGCCAUAAAGGCUUGUAGUGGUUCUGGUCUGGUCUUGGCUUUCAGCCUCUUUUACCUGACAACGCAUAUAUAUGAACCACCAUCCAUUGUCCCCUCAGAAUCCCUGUUAUUAUUAUUUCCAGCUCAUCAGUUUCCACCUACCAAUGAUGCAGUCCUUAAGGCAUGCAGAACUCAGCAUAAACUUUCAGGAAGGGAAGAGGAAGAGGAAAGUGGAACACACGAAACAUGUACCAGGUGGAAAGGAGAUGAAGCGAGAAGUAAAAUGGUGAGAUUCUUCUAGUGUGAAUAUAUGCUGUCAAACCUGAACUACUGGGUUGGGAUGUCACCCUCCCUCAUCUGACCUGUUCUGGACUGGAGGGAGACUCGCACGCUGAGCUCUUUCUGUUACCCCAAGGACUAGUUUACAAGGACUAUCUGAGGUGUGCUGUGGACUCUUGACCUCAAUAUCUCCAUUC
This 737-nucleotide long non-coding RNA is filed under the name Fukomys damarensis (Damara mole-rat). RNAcentral describes it as "lncRNA (ENSFDAG00000032844.1)". The record is from RNAcentral. Lineage: Eukaryota; Metazoa; Chordata; Mammalia; Rodentia; Bathyergidae.